Molecule: long non-coding RNA, 409 nt
Organism: Hyla sarda
Lineage: Eukaryota; Metazoa; Chordata; Amphibia; Anura; Hylidae
Exons: 3
Source: RefSeq, a predicted model, not a curated record
UGUGACAUUCUCCUGUACUGUGUACUAUGAAUGUCAGCUGCAUGUAGUUAUCUUUCCAAUUACAUUAUAUUGAGAAAUCAUUAUAUUGAAUGUAAAAAGCGAGGUCCCCUCUGGCUUCACACUUUAAAGUUUAAUGGAAGAUUGGAAGUCCCCUUUAAAAUGCAUCUGCUAAAUGGGAGCUGCUCACCAAGGACGCGACAUAAGGCUGAUCAGAGGAUAGGUUGCCCGGGUCACAGAGAUCUUUUCUAUGAUGAGAAGAACUGAGCUCGGAGGUACAGCCAUGAGAAAGUCUCGAGUCUGAUCUUGAAGGAAACGCCGACCGUCUGAGGAUUUUGUCAUUUGUGGAUUUAAUUAAGUGGAUUAAUGUUUCCUUUCAUCUCAGAUCAUGUCAAAUAAAUGUCUGUGUGAC